Molecule: long non-coding RNA, 279 nt
Organism: Chinchilla lanigera (long-tailed chinchilla)
Lineage: Eukaryota; Metazoa; Chordata; Mammalia; Rodentia; Chinchillidae
Exons: 3
Source: RefSeq, a predicted model, not a curated record
GUCAGUGGGCGGGGCCAUGAAGGACUUACCUGAGGAGGACAGGCGGCGGGCUCCAGCGUGCGAGUUUUGGGACUGUAGUACUGAGGAGGUUAAUACCUGCUGACACCACUGACCAUCAUCCCUAGGAUCAGAGCAUCUCUGACCCUGGUGCCAGGCCCCUCAGUGGCCUGCACCCCUUGAAUGUCCCCAUUUAGGGAGAUUGUUCUGGAGGUGCAGUUUCCAUCAUCAGCUCCUUAAGGAGGAAGAAGAAGAGGAAGAGGAGGAAGAGGGAGAAGAGGA